UACGAAGGGGGGCUAGCGUUGUUCGGAAUUACUGGGCGUAAAGGGCGCGCAGGCGGCUCUUCAAGUCAGAUGUGAAAGCCCCCGGCUCAACUGGGGAGGGUCACGCGAUACUGAUCGACUCGAAGGCAGGAGAGGGUAGUGGAAUUCCCGGUGUAGUGGUGAAAUGGACGUAGAUAUCGAGAGGAACACCGGUGGCGAAGGCGGGUCUCUGGGCCGAUACUGACGCUGAGGAGCGAAAGCGUGGGGAGCGAACAGG
This 256-nucleotide ribosomal RNA is filed under the name uncultured bacterium. RNAcentral describes it as "partial 16S ribosomal RNA". It matches the Rfam family "Bacterial small subunit ribosomal RNA", at positions 524 to 776 of the family's 1533-position model. The record is from RNAcentral.